AACGUAGGUCACAAGCGUUGUCCGGAAUUACUGGGUGUAAAGGGAGCGCAGGCGGGAAGACAAGUUGGAAGUGAAAUCCAUGGGCUUAACCCAUGAACUGCUUUCAAAACUGUUUUUCUUGAGUAGUGCAGAGGUAGGCGGAAUUCUCGGUGUAGCGGUGGAAUGCGUAGAUAUCGGGAGGAACACCAGUGGCGAAGGCGGCCUACUGGGCACCAACUGACGCUGAGGCUCGAAAGUGUGGGUAGCAAACAGG
This 253-nucleotide ribosomal RNA is filed under the name Faecalibacterium prausnitzii. RNAcentral's name for it is "partial 16S ribosomal RNA". It matches the Rfam family "Bacterial small subunit ribosomal RNA", at positions 524 to 776 of the family's 1533-position model. Lineage: Bacteria; Bacillati; Bacillota; Clostridia; Eubacteriales; Oscillospiraceae. The record is from RNAcentral.